UGUGAGUUCUAUUUUUCUUUUGGGUUCAAAUGUAAAAAUCAUCAUUGUGAGAAUUAAUAAUCUGUUGUUUGUGCGAGUUUUUCUUUUGCGAAAUGCGCAUGUCCUGCGAGAAUAUUCUUGAUUUAUGAGAUUUGGACACGUGCAUGAAUCCACGACUCCACAAUCUGUAAUUACUAACGUUUGAGAGCCCCGACUUAAGGGUCUUCGUGCAUUGCAAGCUCUGUACAUUUUGUACUACAGCUCAGGACACACUUCUCAGACAUUAUAGAUUGAAGCACUGGCGUGGACCAUAUUCAUCAUUUCCUUGCAUUCACAGUGACUGCAUUUGUUCAUUCCGGACUGCAGGACCUCACUUUUUCCCUGAGAAUAAAGGAGAUUGUCAUGGAUGAACCGCUGGUCUCUGUAGUCCAACAGAGAUGGCCAGGCCUUCUCAUAGAGC
This is a long non-coding RNA of Erpetoichthys calabaricus (reedfish), 439 nucleotides long. RefSeq lists it as uncharacterized. The transcript has 3 exons. The record is from RefSeq and is a predicted model, not a curated record. Lineage: Eukaryota; Metazoa; Chordata; Cladistia; Polypteriformes; Polypteridae.